This 993-nucleotide long non-coding RNA is filed under the name Equus caballus (horse). RNAcentral describes it as "lncRNA (ENSECAG00000046671.1)". Lineage: Eukaryota; Metazoa; Chordata; Mammalia; Perissodactyla; Equidae. The record is from RNAcentral.
GGCUCAGGUCUCUAGCUGGCAGCUUUGCGGUGAGCCUGGGACAGUGGGGAAGGAGGCAUUCUACCCAGGUUUGCAAAGCUGACUUGCCUCAGAGACCCCGACUGCCGACCGCCUUCCUCUGGACUUCUACUUGCAGGCCCUGGCGACAUAAUGGCCAACACAACAGUCACAUGGUCUGUUCCCAUGGCAUUUUCUUUCUAGACACAAUCAAGGCCUGAAAAGACGAUGAGAAUGCAGAUCUGGAAAUUCUGGCUGUAAAAUACCCCACAGAAAGGUGAACGAAGAAGGAACCACAAAUAAAGUCACCGCCACUGAGUGUUUACUGUGUGUUAUGGGUUGAACUGUGCCCACCCCCAAAAACCCAUGUGUUCCAGUCCUAACCCCCAGAGUGUGCCCUUAUUUGGAAAUAAGGUUGGUGCAGACACAAUUAGUUAAGCUGAGGUCAUAAGGAGCAGAGUGGGCCCCUUAUCCAAUACGACUGGUGUCCUCACGAAAAGGGAAAAUUUGAACACAGACACACUCAGGGAGAACACCGUGUGAAGAGUGGAGUCACGCUGCCCCAAACCAAGGACCUACCAGAAGCUCCGAGAGAGGCCUGGAACAGAUCCUUCUCUGGAGCUUUCAGAGGGAGCACAACCCUGACGACACCUGGAUCUUGGACUUCCGGCCUCCAGAACUGUGAGACAACAAAUUCCUGUUGUUUCAGCCUCUCAGUUCAUGGUCCUCUGUUACAGCAGCCCUGGCAAAUGCAUAUGAUAUGUAAUAGGUGCUAUGCUAACUGAUUUACAUCCACUGUCUCAUUUAACCCUCGGGACAACCCAUCAAUAGGUACCAUGGUCCGUUUUAUGGAAGAAUAAAUUAAACGAGAGGAAGGCCCCAGAAGAUGUGUUCCAUUUUCAAAGUCGUGGGAGCCAAGUAAAACCUCCUUCGUUGUCAUGGGCUAAUGGGCUAUAGAGCAGCUGCAGACCUGAUCCUGAGACACCGUGUCAGGGC